AGCAGCCGCGGUAAUUCCAGCUCCAAUAGCGUAUAUUAAAGUUGCUGCAGUUAAAAAGCUCGUAGUUGAAUUUCGGGACCGAUAUAUCGGUCGUGCCUCGGUACGUACUGGUAUUUUCGGUUUCUCCCUUCUGACGAACCUUGAUGUCAUUAAUUUGGUGUCUUGGGGAAUCAGGACUGUUACUUUGAAAAAUUAGAGUGUUUAUAGCAGGCUAACGCUUGAAUACAUUAGCAUGGAAUAAUGAAAUAGGACGUUCGACCCUAUUUUGUUGGUUUCUAGGAUCGACGUAAUGAUUAAUAGGGAUAGUUGGGGGCAUUAGUAUUCAAUUGUCAGAGGUGAAAUUCUUGGAUUUAUUGAAGACUAACUACUGCGAAAGCAUUUGCCAAGGAUGUUUUCAUUAAUCAAGAACGAAAGUUAGGGGAUCGAAGACGAUCAGAUACCGUCGUAGUCUUAACCAUAAACUAUGCCGACUAGGGAUCGGAUGAUGUUAAUUUUUUAAUGACUCAUUCGGCGCCUUAGG
RNAcentral lists this ribosomal RNA (520 nucleotides) under uncultured Glomus. Its description in RNAcentral is "SSU rRNA". It matches the Rfam family "Eukaryotic small subunit ribosomal RNA", at positions 569 to 1092 of the family's 1831-position model. Lineage: Eukaryota; Fungi; Glomeromycota; Glomeromycetes; Glomerales; Glomeraceae. The record is from RNAcentral.